ACAAGCUUUUUAAAGAUAUCUAGUAAAAAGGCCCUUCAAAUCCAUUUUCGGGAUUAUAAGGGCCUUAACUCUACAAAUGAUUCUCAAAGUUAAAUUUUUAAAUUAAUUAUUUUCGUAUAUAUCUAAUUCCAUAAAAAUUAAUCUUUUUUUGUUUUGAUGUAAUAGUAUAUAAACAAAAGUACAUAUGCUAAAGGUAUUAAAAGCAAUAUUUUUAAAUCAAUAUCAAAUGUAUUAGUAUAAAAUGAUAAUGCAAGUGAUAAUAUCACAAUUAUCAGGUUUGGAAUUGUUUUUAAAAAAACCUUAUAAAGCCUUUUUUUCAUAUUAUUCCUCCUAAAAAAGCAUGUCUUUUAAGUUUGAUAGAACCAAUGAUCAUAUCUAUAAGUAUAUGUUGCACCCUGAAAAUUCCACUUAUCCUCUAUAUAUGAUAAAACAAUCCCAUAAUUAGUAUUUAUACCAUCCAUGUUAAUUGUUAUUAUCUUUCCAAUUGCCACUACAUCAAGCUCUACCCAAAUUUUUGGUAAAAAACCUCCAAAAGUAGAUGCAAGAUCUGUUCCAGCUUUUAUUUUCUUUAAUGUCUUUCCACUUACAUAAAUAUAUAAAUAGUUUUUACCAUUUUUAGUAAAAGUUCUGUAUUUGUUAUACCCAUUUAUAUAUUUCACACGAGAAUUUUGAUUUACUUUCUUAGCAGAAUCGUCCACUUCUUGAUUGAUUUUAUCCAAUUCCUUUUGAGUAAAUUGACCUGUUUUAAUUAAGAUCUCAUCAAUCUUUUCAUCUGAAAAAAUUUUAUCCUCAGGCCAGUAAUUAUGUAAUUCCUCUACUUCUUUGUCAGACAACUCUAUUUUCACAUUAUUAUCUGAUUCUGUUUUUUCCAUUGCAUUUGCUGUAACAGCAAGUGGUAAAGAUAUUAUCACAGCUGCCAUCACUGUUGAUAAAAGGAGAUUAAUUCUUUUGAUAUUCAUUUAAAUCCCCCUAACUAUAAUAAAUUUAAGGUUUUAAAAUUAACCCUUUACAUAUAUAACAUAUUUAAUUUUGUUUUUUGGACACAAGUUUUAAAAAAUUUAUAUUUUUAAAACUUAUGAAAAUAUAACAAAAGAUACUUGAUUUGAGAGAAGUGUUUUUAAUAUUAUUAUAUUUCAAACUUAACGCAGUUAAGGUUUUGUAAUUAUUUAUAUUUGUUAUUUAUAAAAUUAAUUUUAAUAUAGUUCAGUUUUUAAUUGACUUCAUACAAAAUAGAAUAUAACUUAUACAAUAAGUGAGUCUGGAAAUAUUUAUGUGUAUUCUUUGAAUAAAAAUUUAUUUUUUUAGUGAUAAUUAAACAUUUAUUGGUAAGGCUAUGGCUUUAAAAAUCAUAGCCUUAUUUUGAUAUUUUUUCCAUUUUUGUAAAAAUUAUUAUCCCUUUAAGAAAAUUUCUUAAUUUUUUUGAAAUAUUUCUUUAUUAAUUUAGAGUUAAAAUUCUUUCUUCAAAAUAAAUACUUAAAUGAGCUAAGAUUUGAGUCCAAUUUCUAAUCUUUUGAGUCCAUCUUUCAGAAAUAUCCAUAGUUGCUAAGUAUAAUGAUUUGUGCAAAGAAUCAUCUGAAGGAAAAAUAGACUUCGAUUUAGUAACUUUUCUUAAUAAUCUAUUGUAACUUUCCAUUGAAUUUGUAGUAUAUAUCAAUGUUCUUAUCUCUUGAGGAUAUUUAAAGUAUGUUGCUAGCUCAUUCCAAUUACUUCGCCAACUUCUUAAUGCUAUCGCAUAUUGAUUACCCCAUUUUUCCUCUAAGAGCGAUAGCUCACUUAAUGCUACUUCCUCUGUAAUUGCAGCAUAUACUUUCUUUAAAUCUUUUGCAAAUUCUUUUCUAUUUUUAUAUGAUACAUAAUUUAAAGUAUUUCUAAUUUGAUGUACAACACAUCUUUGUAUUUCAGUAUCAGGAAAUACUGCUUUAAUUGCAUCAGAAAAUCCAACUAAUCCAUCUACAGAAGUUAUUAAUAUAUCCUUAACUCCUCUGUUUUUGACAUCUGUAAGCACCUUUAGCCAAUACUUUGAACUUUCAUUUUCUCCAAUCCAUAUUCCUAAGACCUCCGUUAUACCUUCUAAGUUAACACCUAUGGCUAUAUAUGCAGCUUUGUUUAUUAUUCUACCUUCACUUCUAACUUUAUAAUGUAUAGCAUCCAUAAAUACAAUUGGAUAAACCAUAUCAAGAGGUCUGUUUUGCCAUUCAUGAGCUAAAGGUAGAACUCUAUCAGUAAUUUUAGCUACUAGAGAAUGAGAUAUAUCAAUUCCGUAAAUACUCUUAAGGUGGCUUGAUAUAUCUCGAGUAGACAUGCCUUUUGAGUACAUUCCAAUCACUUGGUUCUCUAUUCCUGAUAUAUCAUUUUUAUAAUUACUAAUUACCUUUGGUUCAAAAUCUCCAUUUCGAUCUCUUGGAAUAUUUAAAGUUAUUUCUCCAAAAUCUGAUUUAACAUUUUUAUUUCUAUAUCUAUUUCUAGAGUUUUUAGUAUUUUUAUUCUUAUUGUCAUAUCUAUCAUAACCUAAAUGGUCGUCAAGCUCCGCUUCUAACAUUUGAUGAAUUGUACUCGCAAAUAAAUCUUUUAGCAUAUCUUGAAUAUCUGUAGUUGUUUUAACAUCAUAUUCUUCAAUAAGUUUUUUUAAUAUUU
RNAcentral lists this ribosomal RNA (2634 nucleotides) under Clostridioides difficile P31. RNAcentral's name for it is "partial 23S ribosomal RNA". The record is from RNAcentral. Lineage: Bacteria; Bacillati; Bacillota; Clostridia; Peptostreptococcales; Peptostreptococcaceae.